This 253-nucleotide ribosomal RNA is filed under the name uncultured bacterium. Its description in RNAcentral is "partial 16S ribosomal RNA". It matches the Rfam family "Bacterial small subunit ribosomal RNA", at positions 524 to 776 of the family's 1533-position model. The record is from RNAcentral.
UACGUAGGGGGCAAGCGUUGUCCGGAAUCAUUGGGCGUAAAGAGCGCGUAGGCGGCCCUGUAAGUCCGCUGUGAAAGUCAAGGGCUCAACCCUUGAAUGCCGGUGGAUACUGCAGGGCUAGAGUCCGGAAGAGGCGAGUGGAAUUCCUGGUGUAGCGGUGAAAUGCGCAGAUAUCAGGAGGAACACCGGUGGCGAAGGCGGUUCUCUGGGCCUGUACUGACGCUGAGGAGCGAAAGCCAGGGGAGCAAACGGG